AUGUUUCAGGAAGCGGCCGUGCACAGCUCUCUCUACUUCCAUUUCUCUCCUGUGGAGGAGCAGGUGUUUUGUCUCCGUGGUCUGUCCCAGCCCGCUGCUCCUCUCUUGUCUCAGUGUUUCAUUUCAUGUGAUGGUUUGUUUCUAGUGAUUGUUGUUUCAUUUAGCUUCUUGUUGAAUUAUGCAUUUAUUAAGUUUAAUAAAAGUUGUGUCUUUUCUACAAGUGAGUCCGUCUCUUGCCUCGUGACGUCAUCGAACCUGUGCUGCUGCUGUUACACCUUUCCUGGAGGUGAAAUCCACCAGGGGGCGAUGUUGCAACACCUCAUUCCCCCCCGCUUCCCUCACGCGACACAUGAAAAACAAACCAAGAUGUUCCACACAAUCCACCAAGCAGUCUGUACUGGUGCUUUAACAUUUCCCCUGAAACCAGCAGUCAGUUCCUCACAUGAUCAGAACUUGAACAAGAUCAAUGUGUUUACUGACAGACCUCGAUAUGUUCUCUUGUUAGGAGACAAUCAUUGUGAUUCAUCUAUUGUCAUGUUGUGGUUCAUGUGGAUGACACUCUUGAGCAUUAGGCCCCGCCCACAGUGUUUACACCUCCUUACUGCAGAGUUGCCUAAAAACAAGAAGUAUUUCUGUGAGGCAGUGAGAUGUAGAGCAGUUUCCUUGUACGGUUCAUUUGACAGAAUGCAUCCCAUCAUUCUUCUCUUUGUCAUUUCUCUGCUUCACUCAUAUGAAGCUCGAGGCUCUGACACUGGGACUCCUGUAUUUGUGCAGAAGGGGAAGGAUCUGAUUCUAAACGUCACAGCUCCUGUGAAAUUAGUUGAAGACAGUGACCUUAAGUGGCAAUUUAAUGGUUCAAGCAUAAUAAAAUUAUUUGAUGAUAACAAAAUAAAACUAUUUGACCCCUAUAGAGGAAGGGUCAAGAUUUUUCUUCAAAAUCACUCUUUGCUUUUGAAGAAUGUGCAACAAGCCGACAGUGGAAGUUACACUGCAGUUGUUGUCGGGAAAAAUAACAAUGAUGCGGGUAAAUACAGCGUCACAGUUCAAGAUCCAGUGUCUCUGGUUACUGGGACAGUGGACUUACUCUCCUCCAGCUCCGACUCCUGUAACCUCACAGUGACCUGCAGCACACAGGACUCCCAUCACAUCAUCAGCACUUUUAGAUGUGACACCACCACCUGCAGCCAGGAGGAGGGAGGAGAGAGGUCAAAGGUCACAACCUCUGGCUCCUCCCUCCGUGUUUUCCUGUCCAAAGGCUUCUCAGUUAUCUGUAGCCAUAGCAACCAGGUCAGCUCAGACGAGCACACAACAAUGAUCAGAGACUUUUGUUUCAAACAUCCUGGUAAGUGACCGACAACACAAGCAGCUGAUAACUUUGUUUUAUAGAAGGUUGUGUUCCAACUUAAGUUCAUUUUGAAAUGUUAAAUCUUUCCCAACAUUUAAAGAUAAAGACUUUCUCCUUCAAUUGGUUCAAAAUGCUGCUGCUUGGAUUAUAACUACGACAACUUCUAGACUUCACUCUAUGUAAAAGAAAAAUCUGUGUUUAUCUGUAAUGUAAUGUCCUCUGGCAGCGACUCAGAGAACAGAACAAAUUGAUUUAGAAACUUUACCUUUUAUAGACAGAGAUAGAUAUUACAACAGGGCUCAGUGACAGGAAGAGAACAUAGAGUGAUGCUUCCUGUUACAUGUCAGUGUCUGUCUGAAAAAUGACCUGUUGAAGAAAUUCUAAAGUUGGUGAAUCACUUCCUCUCUCACAAAUAAAAUUUGUAUUAAUCAGAUGAAUGUUGCUAGAACCGAUAUGUUACAAAUCAAUAACUAAUAAUAACAUAGAAGCAGGAACAUUAUUUAUUAAACACCAAUAGUUUUGCUCACUCAAAAAACACAAAAUAAAUCCUGAAUCUUCCUGAAAUGUAACUUUCUUGGUCCAUGUUCCAUCCUUCAACCAAGUCUUGUGGAAAUCCAGUUUCUAAGUAAACCUGCUGAUCAAUAAACCAACCAACCAACAGACAGGGGGAAACACAACCUGCUGGGCCGAGGUGGUUCUGUAUCAUGAGACUCUGUUUAAUGAGUAGAAGUAAAAAUGGACAAAAACUACAGUUUAAAUCAAAGUCUCUUCUUUCUAAUAAAGUGAUGCUGUGUUGUUUCUACAGGCUCCGACACUGGGACUCCUGUAUUUGUGCAGAAGGGGAAGGAUCUGAUUCUACAUGUCACGGCUCCUGUUAAAUUAGUUGAACGGGAUAUAUUUGCAUGGAAAUUUAAAGAUUCAAACAUAUUUAGAUUAUUUGAUGAUAACAAAGCAAUAAUAACUGACCCCUAUGUUGGAAGGGUUGAGAUUUUUCGCCAAAAUCACUCUUUGCUUUUGAAGAAUGUGCAACAAAACGACAGUGGAAGUUACAUUGCAGUUGUUGUCGGGAAAAAUAACAAUGAUGCGGGUAAAUACAGCGUCACAGUUCAAGAUCCAGUGUCUCUGGUUAAUGGAACAGUGGACUUACACUCCUCCAGCUCCGACUCCUGUAACCUCACAGUGACCUGCAGCACACAGGACUCCCAUCACAUCAUCAGCACUUUUAGAUGUGAGGCCAACACCUGCAGCCAGGAGGAGGGAGGAGAGAGGUCAAAGGUCACAACCUCUGGCUCCUCCCUCCGUGUCUUCCUGUCCAAAAGCUUCUUAGUUAUCUGUAACCAUAGCAACCAGGUCAGCUCAGACGAGCACACAACAAUGAUCAGAGACUUUUGUUUCAAACAUCCUGCCCCUGAACCACAGAGCAAUAUCAUCGCCUUUGUCAAUAUGACUGUCAUCAAGGUUUUGGUGAUAAUUGCCAUGUCAGCAGCUUUUGUUGGAUAUCGUAUAAAAGGAAAACAUGAAAGUGAAGACAUGAAAAAAACUGUGUACGAAAAUGUUCAGGUCAUAAGCGUGAACACCACUUAAGGAUCAGAAUCCAUCUGAUGAAGCUGCAGCUCCUUCUCCGUCCUCCAUCUACAGCUUGAUCGAAGCUCGGUCCAUGAAAUCCACUGAGGCCAGAGACACGACUCAGCCUGAACAUAUGAAUUUAUCUUCCACAUUCUGCCUUUUGGACGAUGUCCAGUAUUAUUGUUGCCUUGAGUCAUGUAAUAUCUUCCUGUUAAAUUAGUUAAAGACAGUGAAAUUAUGAUUCAAACAUAUGAAGAGUAUUACAUGAUGACAGAACACACAUAAUUGGCCCUUAUGAUGGAAGGUCGAUAUUUUUAGUCAAAAACACUCUUUGCUUUUGAAGAAUGUGCAGCAAGCCGUCAGUAGAUGUUACACUGCAGGCGUUAUUGGGAAUGAUGACGCUUAUGUGGGUAAAUACAGCCUCAGAGUUCAAGGUAGGUUUCUUAAGAUUUUAAAUGUCGACACACAGCAGCUGCCCAACUUCUAAACCCAUUAAUGCCUGUGUCCCUCUGCCUCAGGGGUAAUUUGACAGUCAGUGCUUAGGAAUUGCAAGGAAGUGACAUCUUUAUAUAUUUCUGUGUCUAAUGUAUAUAAGUGUGUUUAGUGUUUUGCAGAUCACUGUGUGUAUUGUUUUGCAAAAAGUGUAAAGAUGACAUUGUGCUUAUAGUGGUGCGGUUCUGGGCCCAUGUUUUGCUCCUUGAGUGUAAGGUUUUGAUAAAUGUGUAAUACUUUUGAUUUUAAUAUUUAUACAAUCGAAAAAAACUGUUAUAUUUUAUUCUUAUUUUUUUAUGAAGCAAUAGAUUCAUUUUUAUAUUUAAAAUAAAAAAACAUGUCUGUCCUGCGUUUCCUCCUUUUCACCACCAGAGGGCGCUUCAACAGAAAAUAACAAUUCAUCAUAUUUCUAUUUUUAUCUAAUCUUUUCUUAUAUUAUACUAUAUUUUCUUAUCUUAUUUUACAUUUGUGAGUCCCUUAUAUUUUAUACUUGUUGUUUCAUGAACCUGUAGAUUAAAUGUACAUAUAAAAUUAGAAAAACAUGUCAGUACU
This is an RNA transcript of Platichthys flesus (European flounder), 3955 nucleotides long. RefSeq lists it as uncharacterized. Lineage: Eukaryota; Metazoa; Chordata; Actinopteri; Pleuronectiformes; Pleuronectidae. The record is from RefSeq and is a predicted model, not a curated record. The transcript is spliced from 7 exons.